RNAcentral lists this ribosomal RNA (540 nucleotides) under Polaribacter dokdonensis. Its description in RNAcentral is "bacterial SSU rRNA". It matches the Rfam family "Bacterial small subunit ribosomal RNA", at positions 146 to 681 of the family's 1533-position model. The record is from RNAcentral. Lineage: Bacteria; Pseudomonadati; Bacteroidota; Flavobacteriia; Flavobacteriales; Flavobacteriaceae.
GCCUUUAGAAAUGAAGAUUAAUAUCCCAUAGUAUUGCGAAGUGGCAUCACUUUGUAAUUAAAGAUUUAUCGGUAAAAGAUGACUAUGCGUCCUAUUAGUUAGUUGGUAAGGUAACGGCUUACCAAGACAUCGAUAGGUAGGGGUCCUGAGAGGGAGAUCCCCCACACUGGUACUGAGACACGGACCAGACUCCUACGGGAGGCAGCAGUGAGGAAUAUUGGGCAAUGGAGGUAACUCUGACCCAGCCAUGCCGCGUGCAGGAAGACUGCCCUAUGGGUUGUAAACUGCUUUUAUACAGGAAGAAACACUGCUACGUGUAGCAGCUUGACGGUACUGUAAGAAUAAGGACCGGCUAACUCCGUGCCAGCAGCCGCGGGUAAUACGGAGGGUCCGAGCGUUAUCCGGAAUCAUUGGGUUUAAAGGGGUCCGCAGGCGGGUCAAUUAAGUCAGAGGUGAAAUCCCAUAGCUUAACUAUGGAACUGCCUUUGAUACUGGUUGACUUGAGUCAUAUGGAAGUAGAUAGAAUGUGUAGUGUACCGG